GAUUAGAUACCCCACUAUGCCCAGCUGUAAAUAUUAACUCACACCAUAACCCGCCAGGGAAUUACGAGCCCAAGCUUAAAACCCAAAGGACUUGACGGUGCCCCACCCACCUAGAGGAGCCUGUUCUAUAAUCGAUUUUCCCCGAUAUACCUCACCACUUCUAGCCCAUCAGCCUGUAUACCUCCGUCGUAAGCUUACCAUAUGAACGCUAACUAGUGAGCUAAAAGACUUACCGUCAACACGUCAGGUCAAGGUGCAGCCCACGAAAUGGCAAGCAAUGGGCUACAGUCUCUAAUUUAGAACAAACGAAAGACUACAUGAAACCUAGUCACGAAGGCGGAUUUAGUAGUAAAAAGAAAAUAGAGAGUUCUUUUUAAUCUGGCACUGGGACGCGUACACACCGCCCGUCACCCUCUUCAAACGUAAUCACUAUGUUAAUAACACGAAAUAACAUCACAGAAGAGGUAAGUCGUAACAUGGUAAGCGUACUGGAAAGUGCGCUUGGAUAA
This 509-nucleotide ribosomal RNA is filed under the name Kaloula kalingensis (Kalinga narrowmoouth toad). RNAcentral describes it as "12S ribosomal RNA". It matches the Rfam family "Bacterial small subunit ribosomal RNA", at positions 776 to 1525 of the family's 1533-position model. Lineage: Eukaryota; Metazoa; Chordata; Amphibia; Anura; Microhylidae. The record is from RNAcentral.